UGGCUCACCAAGGCGACGAUGCGUAGCCGACCUGAGAGGGGUGAUCGGCCACAUUGGGACUGAGACACGGCCCAGACUCCUACGGGAGGCAGCAUG
Molecule: ribosomal RNA, 96 nt
Filed under: uncultured bacterium
Lineage: Bacteria
Description: partial 16S ribosomal RNA
Rfam family: Bacterial small subunit ribosomal RNA
Source: RNAcentral